This is a long non-coding RNA of Rattus rattus (black rat), 481 nucleotides long. RefSeq lists it as uncharacterized. The record is from RefSeq and is a predicted model, not a curated record. Lineage: Eukaryota; Metazoa; Chordata; Mammalia; Rodentia; Muridae. The transcript has 3 exons.
CGGCCUGCGAGCACCCGCCCCUCGCGGGGGCCGGGCUGCGGGUCCGGGGGCGGGUGGUGUCGCCCCGGCCGAACCUCGGCCCCCUCCCCCACAGUCCCGACAGUCGCCGCCGCCAUUUUGACCGCCCGCCCCUUCCCUCAGGACUGUACUCAAGCGACAGGCGCUGCGCGGGCCCGGCCGCCCGCCCCAGCACGCCCAGCUUGCCGGGCGCUGCCCCGGUUACCUCGGCUUCUCCGCACUUGUGUCCGCGGAAGGCUUUGAGGAGGGACUCUAACUGGACAUGCAGCCGCUGGAUUGGCUAGACUGACUUUCCUGUGAGCCCCAUGAGUUCUGGAGUCUCUGCUUCCUCGGUGCUGGGAUCAGAGGCUCCUGACCAGACAUCAGGAUGUGGGAGAGAAAAUGGCAGAAGGUUGCACCCCGUGAGCUGCACUGGCAAAGGGGCAGCGAGCAGAUUAUUCAUCAGCCUUUUCCAGAUAGUGAG